ACUGCUUUGGCAGAAUUAUGCAUUGGACUUAGGAUCCAAUUAUGUGGGUUUGUAAUCCCAUAAGUAGUA
Molecule: transfer RNA, 69 nt
Filed under: Hymenopenaeus neptunus
Lineage: Eukaryota; Metazoa; Arthropoda; Malacostraca; Decapoda; Solenoceridae
Description: tRNA-Leu
Rfam family: tRNA
About the family: Transfer RNA (tRNA) molecules are approximately 80 nucleotides in length. Their secondary structure includes four short double-helical elements and three loops (D, anti-codon, and T loops).
Source: RNAcentral